Molecule: long non-coding RNA, 245 nt
Filed under: Vitis vinifera (wine grape)
Lineage: Eukaryota; Viridiplantae; Streptophyta; Magnoliopsida; Vitales; Vitaceae
Description: long non-coding RNA (VVIN_LNC003325)
Source: RNAcentral
UUUUAUGUAUCCAAAAUUGUUUUCAAAAUAAUUAUUUCCGCAUAAAGUUUAUGAAAGUUUGGUUAACAAGCCCACCAACCGAAUGGCUUAGUACUACCUGGGAAUGGCUCUAGUCUCUUGAAGCUACCACCAGAAUAGCUAUUUUUAGCUGGUCGAUGGUGCAGUUUGAGAAUGGGUACACAAUUGAGACCAUGUUUGAUGGAAGCAAGCUUGGAAUUUGAACCCUACCCAAUUAAGGUUAUGGC